AAGAGACCCUCAAACUCACUCUCGGGACUUGGGAUGCCAGGCCAGAUCUUCUGCUUCAGAGUCCUGGUGAAACCAAAAGAAACAGUGCUGCAGAAGACCCUGCGUACUCUGACUUGUCACCUCACUCUCGUCAUCUACUGCGCCCUCUUAACACACACUGUUCUAGCCAUAGAGCUCUUGUAACGGCUUCAAUGUCAAGCUCAUACCCACCUCAGGUUCUUUUUACUUGCUGUUUCUUCUCCCUGCUUUUCACAUGGCUGCCUUACAACCAUCAGAUUUCCACUCUAAUGUUACCUUCCAGAGGUUUUUUUCUAACCAUCCUGUCAUCUCCCCAUAUCCCAUUUCUUUCUCUGCUAUCACUCAUCACAAUUUAUAAUCAAAUAUAUAUCUGUUGGUUCCCUUG
This is a long non-coding RNA of Hipposideros armiger (great roundleaf bat), 403 nucleotides long. RefSeq lists it as uncharacterized. The record is from RefSeq and is a predicted model, not a curated record. The transcript has 2 exons. Lineage: Eukaryota; Metazoa; Chordata; Mammalia; Chiroptera; Hipposideridae.